This 497-nucleotide ribosomal RNA is filed under the name uncultured bacterium. RNAcentral describes it as "partial 16S ribosomal RNA". It matches the Rfam family "Bacterial small subunit ribosomal RNA", at positions 28 to 507 of the family's 1533-position model. The record is from RNAcentral.
GAUGAACGCUGGCGGCGUGCCUAAUACAUGCAAGUCGAGCGAACGGACGAGAAGCUUGCUUUUCUGAUGUUAGCGGCGGACGGGUGAGUAACACGUGGAUAACCUACCUAUAAGACUGGGAUAACUUCGGGAAACCGGAGCUAAUACCGGAUAAUAUUUUGAACCGCAUGGUUCAAAAGUGAAAGACGGUCUUGCUGUCACUUAUAGAUGGAUCCGCGCUGCAUUAGCUAGUUGGUAAGGUAACGGCUUACCAAGGCAACGAUGCAUAGCCGACCUGAGAGGGUGAUCGGACACACUGGAACUGAGACACGGUCCAGACUCCUGCGGGAGGCAGCAGUAGGGAAUCUUCCGCGAUGGGCGAAAGCCUGACGGAGCAACGCCGCGUGAGUGAUGAAGGUCUUCGGAUCGUAAAGCUCUGUUAUUAGGGAAGAACAUAUGUGUAAGUAACUGUGCACAUCUUGACGGUACCUAAUCAGAAAGCCACGGCUAACUACGUG